GAGGAUAAGCUGGAAAAUCGCCGUUGAGAACUGUAUAUUUAAAAAUUAUUAUGUGGGCCUAAAAUUAGCCAUCACAAAAGUUUGUUAUAAAAUAGUAAAAACACAUGAAAAUAUUUCUAUACACGAUACCACGUUAAGCUAUAAGAAUAAUAAUUUAAACCAAUAAAUUAAUAUACCUAUGCUAGGAUGAGUAUUAAAAUUGCUAUAAGAAAAAUUAAAGAUUUUCUUAGAAAUUGUUUCUAAUGCUAAUUAAAGACAAGGAACUCGGCAAAUGUUGUUCCGCCUGUUUAUCAAAAACAUGGCUCUUUGAAAAAAGCAUAUAAAGAGUCGAACCUGCCCAGUGAAGUUUUAAACGGCCGCGGUACCCUGACCGUGCAAAGGUAGCAUAAUCACUUGCCUUAUAAUUGAAGGCUGGCAUGAAUGGUCUGACGAGAGCUACACUGUCUCCUCUUUAUUAUCUAGAAAUUAACCUAUAGGUGAAGAGGCCUAUAUUAUAUUGAAGGACAAGAAGACCCUGUCGAGCUUAAAAGUAAAGUAAGAAUUAGCUAUAGAAGGAAAUCAAUAAAUUACAUAACUUUUUAGUUGGGGCGACUAAGGAACAAAUAAAGCUUCUUUUAUUUUUAUAGAUUAACAGAUCUUGAUCCAGCUAACGCUGAUUAGAGGAAUUAGUUACCGCAGGGAUAACAGCAUAAUCUCCUUUGAGAGACCUAAUCGAAAGGGGGGGUUGUGACCUCGAUGUUGGACUAGAAUAUCCUGAAGAUGCA
This 764-nucleotide ribosomal RNA is filed under the name Tarebia granifera. Its description in RNAcentral is "partial 16S ribosomal RNA". It matches the Rfam family "Bacterial large subunit ribosomal RNA", at positions 1489 to 2557 of the family's 2925-position model. The record is from RNAcentral. Lineage: Eukaryota; Metazoa; Mollusca; Gastropoda; Thiaridae.